This 468-nucleotide ribosomal RNA is filed under the name uncultured bacterium. Its description in RNAcentral is "partial 16S ribosomal RNA". It matches the Rfam family "Bacterial small subunit ribosomal RNA", at positions 28 to 507 of the family's 1533-position model. The record is from RNAcentral.
GACGAACGCUGGCGGCGUGCUUAACACAUGCAAGUCGAACGGAAAGGCCCUGCUUUUGUGGGGUGCUCGAGUGGCGAACGGGUGAGUAACACGUGAGUAACCUGCCCUUGACUUUGGGAUAACUUCAGGAAACUGGGGCUAAUACCGGAUAGGAGCUCCUGCUGCAUGGUGGGGGUUGGAAAGUUUCGGCGGUUGGGGAUGGACUCGCGGCUUAUCAGCUGGUUGGUGGGGUAGUGGCUUACCAAGGCUUUGACGGGUAGCCGGCCUGAGAGGGUGACCGGCCACAUUGGGACUGAGAUACGGCCCAGACUCCUACGGGAGGCAGCAGUGGGGAAUCUUGCACAAUGGGCGGAAGCCUGAUGCAGCAACGCCGCGUGCGGGAUGCCGGCCUUCGGGUUGUAAACCGCUUUCGCCUGUGACGAAGCGUGAGUGACGGUAAUGGGUAAAGAAGCACCGGCUAACUACGUG